UCCCAGAUGGCUCAGUUGUAAAGAAUCUGCCUGCAAAUGCAGAAGAUACAGGUUCAAUCCCUGGUCCGGGAA
Molecule: transfer RNA, 72 nt
Organism: Ovis aries (sheep)
Lineage: Eukaryota; Metazoa; Chordata; Mammalia; Artiodactyla; Bovidae
Rfam family: tRNA
About the family: Transfer RNA (tRNA) molecules are approximately 80 nucleotides in length. Their secondary structure includes four short double-helical elements and three loops (D, anti-codon, and T loops).
Source: Rfam